This 244-nucleotide long non-coding RNA is filed under the name Elaeis guineensis (African oil palm). Its description in RNAcentral is "long non-coding RNA (EGUI_LNC017537)". Lineage: Eukaryota; Viridiplantae; Streptophyta; Magnoliopsida; Arecales; Arecaceae. The record is from RNAcentral.
CGUUAGAAUCUUAUCUCUCCUGAAGUGGCCUUCUCCAUGGAGCUUUUGUAUGAUCUUCUUCUACAAAGAAUAAUUGAAAAUAUAAAGCUGUAUCCCUCGAAACAGAAAACCAUCCUGCACCUAAUAGUCAACUCGAUCAUCAGCCCGGACCUCCUAUAGAAUGGUAGCAAAGUCUAGAUCAUUGGUAUAGAGAUCCCUCAAAGUAUCAAAACCAACUAUCUCUACUUGAAGAACACCUAGAAGC